Molecule: long non-coding RNA, 1233 nt
Filed under: Homo sapiens (human)
Lineage: Eukaryota; Metazoa; Chordata; Mammalia; Primates; Hominidae
Description: HSALNT0086231
Source: RNAcentral
AAGGAGAGCCCGCUGGCCAAGUCUGGGAUAAUUUUGAGCUAAAAAUAAAUCAGGACAGUAAAGGAUUACAACUUAUUGAAUAAAACAUUAAUCAUCAGGCCAGGCGCGGUGACUCACACCUGUAAUCCCAGCACUUUGGGAGGCCGAGGCGGGUGGAUCACGAGGUCAGGAGUUCAAGACUAACCUGACCAGCACCGUGAAAUCCCAUCUCUGCUAAAAAAAAUACAAAAAAAUUAGCCGGGCGUGGUGACACAUGCCUGUAAUCCCAGCUACUUCGGAGGCUGAGGCAGAAGAAUCGCUUGAACCCAGGAGGCAGAGGUUGCACUGAGCCGAGAACGCGCCACUGCACUCCAGCCUGGCAACAGAGCGAGACUCCGUCUCAAAAAAAAAAAAAAAAAAUUAAUCAUCAAUUCAGGCAGCUGAUAAGUAGUUUGGCAGGGGACCAAAAACCUGAAUUAAGUCACGAGGAAACACCAGGCAAGCCCAACUGAAGAACAUUCUAUAAAACAACCGAUUUGUGUUCUUUAAAUAUAUCAAUGUCAUGAAAGAGAAAGAAAUUCUGAAGAACCAUUCCAGAUUAAAGAAGAUUAGAGAAACAUGACCCCUUCAGGCAUAUAUGUGAUCCUUGGUUGAAACUUGGACUGGGGGGAUGCUGUAAAGAACUUUAUUGGUAUAAUUGACAAAAUUGGAAUAUGGAUUAUAGAGUAGGUGAAAGUACGUAUCAAGGUUAAAUUUUCUGAUUUGAUAAUUGUAUUUGGAUUAUGUAAGAAACUAUAUUUGUUCUUAGGAACUACACAUUGAAGUAUUAAGAGUAUAAUAAAGGCAUGAUCUUUAUAACCUCAAAUGGUUUGGAAAAAAUAAAUACAGAGGGAGGGAAGAAGAGAGAAUAAUUAAACAAAUGUGGCAAAAUGUAAAAAAGUUGGUUAAUCUGGACUGGGCGCGGUGGCUCAUGCCUGUAAUCCCAGCACUUUAGGAGGUCAAUGCAGGUAGAUCACGAGGUCAGGAGAUUGAGACCAUCCUGGCUAACAUGGUGAAACCCCGUCUCUACUAAAAAUACAAAAACAAAGUUAGCCAGGCGUGGUGGCGAGCACCUGUAGUCCCAGCUAUUCGGGAGGCUGAGGUGAGAGAGUGGUGUGAACCCUUGAGGCAGAGCUUGCAGUGAGCGGAGAUUGUGCCACUGCACUCCAGCCUGGGCGACAGAGCGAGACUCCAUCUCAAAAAAAAAAAAAAAAA